RNAcentral lists this ribosomal RNA (997 nucleotides) under Microbacterium lacus. Its description in RNAcentral is "bacterial SSU rRNA". It matches the Rfam family "Bacterial small subunit ribosomal RNA", at positions 471 to 1464 of the family's 1533-position model. Lineage: Bacteria; Bacillati; Actinomycetota; Actinomycetes; Micrococcales; Microbacteriaceae. The record is from RNAcentral.
GACGGUACCUGCAGAAAAAGCACCGGCUAACUACGUGCCAGCAGCCGCGGUAAUACGUAGGGUGCAAGCGUUAUCCGGAAUUAUUGGGCGUAAAGAGCUCGUAGGCGGUUUGUCGCGUCUGCUGUGAAAACUGGGGGCUCAACCCCCAGCCUGCAGUGGGUACGGGCAGACUAGAGUGCGGUAGGGGAGAUUGGAAUUCCUGGUGUAGCGGUGGAAUGCGCAGAUAUCAGGAGGAACACCGAUGGCGAAGGCAGAUCUCUGGGCCGUAACUGACGCUGAGGAGCGAAAGGGUGGGGAGCAAACAGGCUUAGAUACCCUGGUAGUCCACCCCGUAAACGUUGGGAACUAGUUGUGGGGUCCAUUCCACGGAUUCCGUGACGCAGCUAACGCAUUAAGUUCCCCGCCUGGGGAGUACGGCCGCAAGGCUAAAACUCAAAGGAAUUGACGGGGACCCGCACAAGCGGCGGAGCAUGCGGAUUAAUUCGAUGCAACGCGAAGAACCUUACCAAGGCUUGACAUAUACGAGAACGGGCCAGAAAUGGUCAACUCUUUGGACACUCGUAAACAGGUGGUGCAUGGUUGUCGUCAGCUCGUGUCGUGAGAUGUUGGGUUAAGUCCCGCAACGAGCGCAACCCUCGUUCUAUGUUGCCAGCACGUAAUGGUGGGAACUCAUGGGAUACUGCCGGGGUCAACUCGGAGGAAGGUGGGGAUGACGUCAAAUCAUCAUGCCCCUUAUGUCUUGGGCUUCACGCAUGCUACAAUGGCCGGUACAAAGGGCUGCAAUACCGUAAGGUGGAGCGAAUCCCAAAAAGCCGGUCCCAGUUCGGAUUGAGGUCUGCAACUCGACCUCAUGAAGUCGGAGUCGCUAGUAAUCGCAGAUCAGCAACGCUGCGGUGAAUACGUUCCCGGGUCUUGUACACACCGCCCGUCAAGUCAUGAAAGUCGGUAACACCUGAAGCCGGUGGCCCAACCCUUGUGGAGGGAGCCGUCGAAGGUG